This 497-nucleotide ribosomal RNA is filed under the name uncultured bacterium. Its description in RNAcentral is "partial 16S ribosomal RNA". It matches the Rfam family "Bacterial small subunit ribosomal RNA", at positions 28 to 507 of the family's 1533-position model. The record is from RNAcentral.
GACGAACGCUGGCGGCGUGCCUAAUACAUGCAAGUAGAACGCUGAAGAGAGGAGCUUGCUCUUCUUGGGUGAGUUGCGAACGGGUGAGUAACGCGUAGGUAACCUGCCUUGUAGCGGGGGAUAACUACUGGAAACGAUAGCUAAUACCGCAUAACAAUGGAUGACACAUGUCAUUUAUUUGAAAGGGGCAAUUGCUCCACUACAAGAUGGACCUGCGUUGUAUUAGCUAGUAGGUGAGGUAAUGGCUCACCUAGGCGACGAUACAUAGCCGACCUGAGAGGGUGAUCGGCCACACUGGGACGGAGACACGGCCCAGACUCCUACGGGAGGCAGCAGUAGGGAAUCUUCGGCAAUGGAGGCAACCCUGACCGAGCAACGCCGCGUGAGUGAAGAAGGUUUUCGGAUCGUAAAGCUCUGUUGUAAGGCAAGAACGGGUGUGAGAGUGGAAAGUUCACACUGUGACGGUAGCUGACCAGAAAGGGACGGCUAACUACGUG